RNAcentral lists this ribosomal RNA (820 nucleotides) under uncultured eukaryote. RNAcentral describes it as "SSU rRNA". It matches the Rfam family "Eukaryotic small subunit ribosomal RNA", at positions 629 to 1426 of the family's 1831-position model. The record is from RNAcentral.
CGGUGUUUAACUGGCGUGAUGUGGGACGUCCUACCGGUGGGCUUAGCCUCGCGAGGGGCGGCCCAACUAAUAUCCCGUCGCGGUGCUCUUUACUGAGUGUCGAGUCGGGCCGGUACGUUUACUUUGAACAAAUUAGAGUGCUUAAAGCAGGCUAUCCUCGCCUGAAUACUGCGUGCAUGGAAUAAUGGAAUAGGACCUCGGUUCUAUUUUGUUGGUUUUCGGAACCCCGAGGUAAUGAUUAAUAGGGACAGAUGGGGGCAUUCGUAUUGCGACGUUAGAGGUGAAAUUCUUGGAUCGUCGCAAGACGGACAGAAGCGAAAGCAUUUGCCAAAAAUGUUUUCAUUAAUCAAGAACGAAAGUUAGAGGUUCGAAGGCGAUCAGAUACCGCCCUAGUUCUAACCAUAAACGAUGCCAGCUGGCGAUCCGCCGAAGUUCCUCCGAUGACUCGGCGGGCAGCUUCCGGGAAACCAAAGCUUUUGGGUUCCGGGGGAAGUAUGGUUGCAAAGCUGAAACUUAAAGGAAUUGACGGAAGGGCACCACCAGGAGUGGAGCCUGCGGCUUAAUUUGACUCAACACGGGAAACCUCACCAGGCCCAGACACCGGAAGGAUUGACAGAUUGAUAGCUCUUUCUUGAUUCGGUGGGUGGUGGUGCAUGGGCCGUUCUUAGUUGGUGGAGCGAUUUGUCUGGUUAAUUCCGAUAACGAACGAGACUCUAGCCUGCUAAAUAGGCGUACCUUAUGGUAUCGCGAAGGCCCCCGGCUUCGGCCGGUGGGUUUUUACUACCAACGUACAAACAAAUCUUCUUAGAGGGACAGGCGG